Molecule: small nuclear RNA, 106 nt
Organism: Nycticebus coucang (slow loris)
Lineage: Eukaryota; Metazoa; Chordata; Mammalia; Primates; Lorisidae
Source: RefSeq, a predicted model, not a curated record
GUGCUCACUUCAGCAGUACAUAUACUAAAAUCGGAACAAUGCUGAGAAGGUUAGCAUGGCCCCUGGCAAGGAUGACACACAAAUUAAUGAAAUAUACCAUACUUAG